This is a long non-coding RNA of Schistocerca nitens (vagrant locust), 538 nucleotides long. RefSeq lists it as uncharacterized. NCBI's taxonomy places the organism in Eukaryota, Metazoa, Arthropoda, Insecta, Orthoptera, Acrididae. The transcript is spliced from 4 exons. The record is from RefSeq and is a predicted model, not a curated record.
CCUCUUGAUUGGCCGACAAUACAAGCGCACCGGCCGAUCGCGACCGCACAUUCGCGCCUGAAUUCGGAGAUGCCAGCCACUCUAGUGCGCCAUAUCCCCACAUUUUCCAUACCGUCACACUACAAAGAAUUAUUCUCGCUGAAAAGUUUUUGAAGAGGGAAGCCUAAAGCGAAAAUAUAUGACACAGGGUGAGCUCUCGCAAACAGUUGAUAUGAAGAACUUGGACUCGACCAUGCAGAUGUGGUGGACAUUACAGGAAGCCUUGCUGUUUUCUUCUAACUAAACGAAACAUCUUAGUUUUAAAAGCAGGCCGCGCCCUAGAAAACAUCCGAAUCAGACCUACCAUAAAAGUUGAAGACUGGAAGUAAACUGCCUUUAAAAUCACAUUACAGUGGCACAGUGUUAAUUCCACCUUGAUUUGGGUUACGCAGCAGGCCUACAACUCCAGGAUUUUGUCUUGGAAUGUGAGUAGAGACAGCAGGGGGCUUGACUGCGACAGCCUGCUGUGUUGGGUUCACAGCCAGAAUUGACUUGUGAG